This 254-nucleotide ribosomal RNA is filed under the name uncultured bacterium. RNAcentral's name for it is "partial 16S ribosomal RNA". It matches the Rfam family "Bacterial small subunit ribosomal RNA", at positions 524 to 776 of the family's 1533-position model. The record is from RNAcentral.
UACGAAGGGGGGCUAGCGUUGUUCGGAAUUACUGGGCGUAAAGCGCGCGCAGGCGGCCAUCCAAGUCAGGGGUGAAAGCCCGGAGCUCAACUCCGGAAAUGCCUUUGAAACUGUUUGGCUUGAGUACGGGAGAGGUGAGUGGAAUUCCCAGUGUAGAGGUGAAAUUCGUAGAUAUUGGGAAGAACACCGGUGGCGAAGGCGGCUCACUGGCCCGUUUCUGACGCUCAGGCGCGACAGCGUGGGGAUCAAACAGG